UAUGUGAUCGUCUCCGCAUAUCAAUAAGCGGAGGAAAAGAAACUAACAAGGAUUCCCCUAGUAACGGCGAGUGAAGCGGGAAGGGCUCAAAUUUGAAAUCUUAAAGGGUUUCCCUUUACGAAUUGUAGUUUAAAGAAGUGUUUUCUGUUGAGGUUUUGGUAAAAGUUCUUUGGAAUAGGACAUCAUAGAGGGUGAGAAUCCCGUAUUUGACCUUUACUUUCAACUUUGUGAUACACUUUCAAAGAGUCGGAUUGUUUGGGAAUGCAGUCCAAAAUGGGUGGUAAAUUUCAUCUAAAGCUAAAUAUUGGCGAGAGACCGAUAGCGAACAAGUACCGUGAGGGAAAGAUGAAAAGAACUUUGAAAAGAGAGUUAAACAGUACGUGAAAUUGUCAAAAGAGAAGCGUUUGACACCAGUGUUGUUUUUCUGAAAAUCAAUUAAAGAACUGUUUAUGCUAAGUUGUUUAGACUUUAUCAGCUAACUGUUUAGUUUUGAGCUUUUCUUUAAUGCACUUUUCAGUUAACAAGUCAACAUCAAUUUCUUUUGCUGUAAAAAAGCUUGAGGAAGGUGGCUUGAGAUUCGUCUUAAGUGUUUAUAGCCUCUUGCCUAUGCAGUCGGAGAGAUUGAGGUCUGCAGCGUAGAUCCUUCGGGGCUAAAUGCAUUUGUGCUAAGUUAUAGCAUUUUAUAGACAACUUGUUGACUAUGAUUUGUCUUGUAGCUUACUCGCUUAUGUUAUUUUACCUACGCUUAGGAUGUUGAUCUGUAGUGCGUGCGC
This 773-nucleotide ribosomal RNA is filed under the name uncultured Neocallimastigales. RNAcentral's name for it is "partial large subunit ribosomal RNA". It matches the Rfam family "Eukaryotic large subunit ribosomal RNA", at positions 24 to 646 of the family's 3401-position model. Lineage: Eukaryota; Fungi; Neocallimastigomycota; Neocallimastigomycetes; Neocallimastigales. The record is from RNAcentral.